ACGCUGGCGGCAGGCUUAACACAUGCAAGUCGAACGGUAACAGGGAUUAGCUUGCUAAUUUGCUGACGAGUGGCGGACGGGUGAGUAAUGCUUGGGAAUCUGGCUUAUGGAGGGGGAUAACUACGGGAAACUGUAGCUAAUACCGCGUAAUAUCGGAAGAUUAAAGGGUGGGACUUUCGAGCCACCUGCCAUAAGAUGAGCCCAAGUGGGAUUAGGUAGUUGGUUAGGUAAAGGCUGACCAAGCCGACGAUCUCUAGCUGGUCUGAGAGGAUGACCAGCCACACUGGAACUGAGACACGGUCCAGACUCCUACGGGAGGCAGCAGUGGGGAAUAUUGCACAAUGGGGGGAACCCUGAUGCAGCCAUGCCGCGUGAAUGAAGAAGGCCUUCGGGUUGUAAAGUUCUUUCGGUGACGAGGAAGGUUGAUAGGUUAAUAGCCUAUCAAAUUGACGUUAAUCACAGAAGAAGCACCGGCUAACUCCGUGCCAGCAGCCGCGGUAAUACGGGGGGUGCGAGUGUUAAUCGGAAUAACUGGGCGUAAAGGGCACGCAGGCGGUGACUUAAGUGAGAUGUGAAAGCCCCGAGCUUAACUUGGGAAUUGCAUUUCAUACUGGGUCGCUAGAGUACUUUAGGGAGGGGUAGAAUUCCACGUGUAGCGGUGAAAUGCGUAGAGAUGUGGAGGAAUACCGAAGGCGAAGGCAGCCCCUUGGGAAUGUACUGACGCUCAUGUGCGAAAGCGUGGGGAGCAAACAGGAUUAGAUACCCUGGUAGUCCACGCUGUAAACGAUGUCGAUUUGGGGAUUGGGCUUUGAGCUUGGUGCCCGUAGCUAACGUGAUAAAUCGACCGCCUGGGGAGUACGGCCGCAAGGUUAAAACUCAAAUGAAUUGACGGGGGCCCGCACAAGCGGUGGAGC
RNAcentral lists this ribosomal RNA (914 nucleotides) under uncultured bacterium. Its description in RNAcentral is "bacterial SSU rRNA". It matches the Rfam family "Bacterial small subunit ribosomal RNA", at positions 33 to 938 of the family's 1533-position model. The record is from RNAcentral.